GACGAACGCUGGCGGCGUGCUUAACACAUGCAAGUCGAGCGGUAAGGCCCUUUCGGGGGUACACGAGCGGCGAACGGGUGAGUAACACGUGGGUGACCUGCCCUCAGCUCUGGGAUAAGCCUGGGAAACUGGGUCUAAUACUGGAUAUGACUCCAUGACGCAUGUUGUGGGGUGGAAAGCCUUGUGCGGCUGAGGAUGGGCCCGCGGCCUAUCAGCUUGUUGGGGGGUGAUGGCCUACCAAGGCGACGACGGGUAGCCGGCCUGAGAGGGCGGACCGGCCACACUGGGACUGAGACACGGCCCAGACUCCUACGGGAGGCAGCAGUGGGGAAUCUUGCGCAAUGGGCGAAAGCCUGACGCAGCGACGCCGCGUGAGGGAUGACGGCC
Molecule: ribosomal RNA, 387 nt
Filed under: uncultured bacterium
Lineage: Bacteria
Description: bacterial SSU rRNA
Rfam family: Bacterial small subunit ribosomal RNA
Source: RNAcentral